GCCUUAGUAGCUCAGAUGAAAGAGCGUUGGCCUUGUAAGCCAAAUGUCGGAGGUUUAAACCCUCCCUAAUGCU
RNAcentral lists this transfer RNA (73 nucleotides) under Xenolepidichthys dalgleishi. RNAcentral's name for it is "tRNA-Thr". It matches the Rfam family "tRNA". From Rfam's summary of the family: Transfer RNA (tRNA) molecules are approximately 80 nucleotides in length. Their secondary structure includes four short double-helical elements and three loops (D, anti-codon, and T loops). Lineage: Eukaryota; Metazoa; Chordata; Actinopteri; Zeiformes; Grammicolepididae. The record is from RNAcentral.